This 120-nucleotide ribosomal RNA is filed under the name uncultured bacterium. RNAcentral describes it as "partial 16S ribosomal RNA". It matches the Rfam family "Bacterial small subunit ribosomal RNA", at positions 215 to 334 of the family's 1533-position model. The record is from RNAcentral.
GCGGUUGGAGAUGAGCAUGCGUCCCAUUAGUUAGUUGGCGAGGUAACGGCUCACCAAGACAUCGAUGGGUAGGGGGCCUGAGAGGGUUAUCCCCCACACUGGUACUGAGACACGGACCAG